This is a long non-coding RNA of Hirundo rustica (Barn swallow), 435 nucleotides long. RefSeq lists it as uncharacterized. The transcript has 3 exons. Lineage: Eukaryota; Metazoa; Chordata; Aves; Passeriformes; Hirundinidae. The record is from RefSeq and is a predicted model, not a curated record.
UGGAAGGCUGGCAUUCAGAGACGUGGUUAUGUGCCGCAUAUUAAUGUGUGCUCUGUAGACAUCCUCCCCCUUUUUAGAUGAGUGGCACAGGAAUGAAGCCCUCUAUAGAGCCGCCACCGUGGGAGCAGGAGCUCACAAGCAGUCUGCUAGUCUGCUUAGGAACUCAGCAUUAGAAAAAGACCUCUCCAUAUCUUCUCUACCACUGCUGCUUGACCAGCAUUGAGUUGUACAGGCCUGAAAGCCUGAUUAUCAAGGAACUCAUUCUCCCAGACACUGUCAUUUUGGAGCAUGGAAGACAAUUCUUGGCACUUGAGGAAUACAUUUAGAAGCCUGGAGGCCACUGGAAUCAUAAGCACAACUGAAGGAACGAUGCAUCCUUUCCCAUUCCAGGAAUCUCUCAGGGACUCCACUGACUCUUAUACAUUGAGACUAUUU